This 429-nucleotide ribosomal RNA is filed under the name uncultured bacterium. RNAcentral's name for it is "bacterial SSU rRNA". It matches the Rfam family "Bacterial small subunit ribosomal RNA", at positions 355 to 776 of the family's 1533-position model. The record is from RNAcentral.
CUAAGAAUCUUCCGCAAUGGGCGAAAGCCUGACGGAGCGACGCCGCGUGAACGAAGAAUGUCGUGAGAUUGUAAAGUUCUUUUCCUGGGGAGGAAUAAUACUCGGAGGGAAUGCCGAGUAGAUGACGUGAACCAGGGAAUAAGCCCCGGCUAAUUCCGUGCCAGCAGCCGCGGUAACACGGAAGGGGCAAGCGUUGUUCGGAUUUAUUGGGCGUAAAGGGCGUGUAGGCGGCGAUAGAAGUCUGGUGUGAAAUACUUCGGCUCAACCGAAGAAACGCGCUGGAAACUGUAUUGCUUGAGUUUAGGAGGGGGAGCUGGAAUUCCUGGUGUAGGGGUGAAAUCUGUAGAGAUCAGGAAGAACACCGGAGGCGAAGGCGAGCUCCUGGCUAUAAACUGACGCUGAGGCGCGAAAGCGUGGGGAGCGAACAGG